UUUGUGUGGAAGGGUAGCGGUCAUACAGAAGCAGAAGUUUUUGUGGAAGGAUGACAUCUUUGUUAUACCAGUGUGGAAGAGUGUCAUGAUGCAGAGAGCAAUAACUUACGUAUAAAAUCUUUACUGUAUUUGUGCAGAAGAAUGACGUUAUACAACUUGAACUUGUGUGGAAGUGUGACAAUAACACAGAGAGCAGCGUAUACAUCUGUGGUGCAGCAACAGACGACCUGCGGAAAGUGCGUGCAGUUUUCAAACUCCUCAUUAUCACAAGAUCGAGUGAUAGCAUGAUACAGAACGGAACCACACACAAAACAAAGAGAUCAAUUUUUAUAUACCAAUCAUCAAAAGUUUCAUAUCCAGGCGUUACAUUGCAGAUGGAAACGUUGUUGUUUGUUACGAACCCAUGCGUCCAAAAGUAAUGGGAAUUUAAGCAUCCAAGAACAGAAAAUAAGAUACAUACUGCAAUCACAGAUUUUUUUACGGUUACAAUUGAUUUAUACGCAAUAUAGUUGCAUUUUAUGAAACGCUCUACAGUUACACAUACAAGAAUCCAUGAGGAAAAUUGCAUUGAGAAAUAAACUAGGAAAUGCAGGAGCUUACACACCGAGUCGGACAAUGACCUGAUGUCAAAGCCCCACGUUUCUAAAAUCCAUAGUCGAAUGAGACCAACACACAGAAUUAUCAUAUCUGUCAUAGUCAGUACAAAAAGGAAGACCAUCAGAGGUGUACCCCAGAAUUUCAUCCGAAUAAAAACCAUAACGAUGAGAAUUCCACCGACCAUCCCAAACACAAAUAUAAUUGGAGAAAUAAUCAUCCAUAUGUAAUUAGCAAUUUCACAAAGAUUAUUUCCACAGGGAGCAGAGCUGUUAGACGUUUCAGUCGUACCAUUUCCCUCCAUUACACCGUUAAACCAGAAUCACUUUACGUGACCAAAAGAAGAACAAACAUUUAACUCAAAUAACGUAUUUCAUUCUGCCCUUUAAUCUGUCAAGUUGUGGAUUUGAGGAAAAAAUACUACUUUAUACUAUAAAGAUCAAGGAUAAUGCAGUUUCCAGAUGACAGGGAAGUAAGGCAAUGAAGACAGAAUUUGCUGAUGAUAUGCAUAAGACCACAACUUAACAGUGCUCCGAUGUAAAUUUUUCAAAAGUAGUUUCCGCUGCUUGUUGUCAGGGAUGUGUGUCCCCAUACCAAACCAGAUUGUACAAACCAAUUGCACAUCCUCGCAAGGAAUUCAAGACCAGGAUUGAGGAUAUCAUAGAUAGCUGUUUCUUCAAUGAAAAUAGAACACGAAAAUAUUCAUAUCUUGUGCUCAGUCAUCUAAAAAAAUUACUUUGUUGAACAACUCUUGGAUUCUACGCACAAGUACUCUGACGUUCAUAUUAGAAAGAUGCUGGAGUUCCUCAUUGACAAUAUUUUUGUAGUCUUUGGUGAUCCGGUCUUCCAACAGUUUGGACUUCUCAUGAACAAAAAUUGUGCUCCAUUAUUAGCUGACCUGUUAUUGUAUUCUGAGCCAGAAGUUAUUCAAAAGCUUCUAUUUGAGAAGAAAACAAUAUCUUACUAUGGCCUUCAACUCGACAUAUAGGUUCAUCAACGACGUUGCAUUUAUAAACAAUGCUCAUUUUCAUCCAUAACUCGAAAUAAAAUACACCACAGAAUC
Long non-coding RNA from Ostrea edulis (European flat oyster), 1657 nucleotides. RefSeq lists it as uncharacterized. The transcript has 4 exons. The record is from RefSeq and is a predicted model, not a curated record. NCBI's taxonomy places the organism in Eukaryota, Metazoa, Mollusca, Bivalvia, Ostreida, Ostreidae.